Molecule: microRNA, 22 nt
Filed under: Drosophila pseudoobscura
Lineage: Eukaryota; Metazoa; Arthropoda; Insecta; Diptera; Drosophilidae
Description: dps-miR-2512
Source: miRBase by way of RNAcentral
UAGGCACCCUCGGUGAUACUUG